AAGAACGCCCGGGCUUCGGCCUGGUUAUUCAUAACCCUUUGUUGUCCGACUCUGUUGCCUCCGGGGCGACCCUGCCUUCGGGCGGGGGCUCCGGGUGGACACUUCAAACUCUUGCGUAACUUUGCAGUCUGAGUAAACUUAAUUAAUAAAUUAAAACUUUUAACAACGGAUCUCUUGGUUCUGGCAUCGAUGAAGAACGCAGCGAAAUGCGAUAAGUAAUGUGAAUUGCAGAAUUCAGUGAAUCAUCGAAUCUUUGAACGCACAUUGCGCCCCCUGGUAUUCCGGGGGGCAUGCCUGUUCGAGCGUCAUUUCACCACUCAAGCCUCGCUUGGUAUUGGGCAACGCGGUCCGCCGCGUGCCUCAAAUCGUCCGGCUGGGUCUUCUGUCCCCUAAGCGUUGUGGAAACUAUUCGCUAAAGGGUGUUCGGGAGGCUACGCCGUAAAACAACCCCAUUUCUAAGGUUGACCUCGGAUCAGGUAGGGAUACCCGCUGAACUUAA
Molecule: ribosomal RNA, 499 nt
Filed under: uncultured Davidiella
Lineage: Eukaryota; Fungi; Ascomycota; Dothideomycetes; Cladosporiales; Cladosporiaceae
Description: eukaryotic LSU rRNA
Rfam family: 5.8S ribosomal RNA (bases 155-308)
Source: RNAcentral